GUCUCGAAGCGGAGGGGGCGCGGCCCCGAGCUGCGCGCGCAUUCCUCCGCCGCGCGCCUCCGUUCCUCCCUCCCUCCCCGCCACGGCCCCGCGCGAGAGUGCGGCCCACGCCGAGCGACCGCGACCCGGGCCCCGCCCCGCCCCGCGCCCAGGGGUCCCGGGGCGGGCUGCGGGCCGGCGGACGAUGCGGCGGCGCUGCCGGAGCGGCGGCGGCGGGCGGCGGAGGCGGAGGUGACGCGCCGCGGCGGGCCGACGGCCAUGCAGCGCUCGCGGACGGCCGCGGACGACGCGGCUCUGCUCCUGGCCGGGCUGGGCCUGCGCGAGUCGGAGCCGACCGCCGGCUCCCCAGGGCGCGUGCGGCGCGGGCCGAGGGCCGUGGACGAGGCGGCGCCAGCGUCGGGCCGCCGAGGCAAGGGUGGCUGCGGCGGCCCCGAGGCCGCGCCCGACGUCCCGAGCCGCCCCGAGCGAGGCCCGCGCGCCAGCCUCGCGGGCUCGGACGGCGGCAGCGCGCGCUCGAGCGGUAUCAGCCUGGGCUAUGACCAGCGCCACGGCCCCGGCCCCGGGCCGCCGUCGGGGGGCAGCGCGCGCUCCAGCGUGUCCAGCCUGGGUUCCCGUGGCUCAGCGGGCGCCUGUGCAGACCUGCUGCCGCCCGGCGUCGGCCCGGCGCCCGCCCGCUCUCCGGAGCCUGCCCAGUUCCCCUUCCCGUUGCCGUCGCUGCCGCUGCCCCCGGGCCGGGAGGGCGGCCCGAGUGCGGCCGAGCGGCGGCUGGAGGCGCUCACGCGGGAACUGGAGCGCGCGCUCGAGGCGCGCACGGCGCGAGACUACUUUGGCAUUUGUAUCAAGUGUGGCCUUGGCAUCUACGGAGCGAGGCAGGCGUGCCAGGCGAUGGGGAGCCUGUAUCACACCGACUGCUUCAUCUGUGACUCCUGUGGGAGACGGCUCCGUGGGAAGGCCUUCUAUAACGUGGGUGAGAAAGUGUACUGCCAGGAGGACUUCCUGUACUCCGGGUUCCAGCAAACAGCUGACAAGUGUAGCGUGUGUGGACACCUCAUCAUGGAGAUGAUUCUGCAGGCCCUUGGCAAGUCCUACCACCCAGGCUGCUUCCGCUGCUCAGUGUGCAACGAGUGCUUGGAUGGGGUUCCCUUCACUGUGGAUGUGGACAACAACAUUUACUGCGUUAGAGACUAUCAUACGGUGUUUGCACCAAAAUGUGCCUCCUGUGCCCGUCCCAUCCUCCCUGCACAGGUCCAGGAAGAAUGCCUGUGAACCCUGCCUUUUUCUCCAGGGCUGUGAGACAACCAUUCGUGUGGUGUCCAUGGACAGAGACUACCAUGUGGAGUGUUACCACUGUGAGGACUGUGGGCUGCAGCUGAGUGGGGAGGAGGGACGCCGCUGCUAUCCCCUGGAGGGGCACCUGCUCUGCCGGCGAUGCCACCUGAGGCGCCUUGGGCAGGGCCCGCUCCCCUCGCCUGCUGUGCAUGUGACUGAGCUCUGAGAAGCAGCGGUCACAGAGAGGAGAGGAGUGGCCCACGCUCCUCCCCACCCGCAGGGGCCGGACCCCCGCAACAAAGAAGCGAUUUCUAUUUAUUCACCUUCUGUGCCUCAAGUCACUUCCCCUGCUGGAUUCCAGGACACUCGCACAGUAGACUACCUUCCUCCGACCGGUCUCAGCUCCCAUGGCAGGGAUUGGAGGGUCUUGGAGCUGGUGGGGGACAGGUGCCUUAUUUGUGUGCGACCACAGAGCCAGGGAGUAUCAACAUCCUGGGAAAUACCACGAUUUGGCCUUGAUGGGUAUUUUCAGCUGCAGUUCUCCUCCUCUCUGGAUCCUGGCUUGGGGUGCUUUUCCAGCAUCCACAGUCUCAGAAGACCCAGGAGCAGAGGGGGGUGGGGCUCAUGAGGGGGCUCCCUUACAGACCCUGCCAGCGAACAUCUGUGCACACUAUAUCAGGCUCCACUACCAAAGCGUAUGAUUUGACUUAAAUUAAGUUUUUUCCCUUCUGGAGGAUGUUUGCAUUUUCUUUAAAAGAAUAUAGUUUUCUUCUAAAAACUUGGA
RNA transcript from Mus musculus (house mouse), 2053 nucleotides. It is a transcript of the gene named WT1 interacting protein, with no coding region annotated. The record is from RefSeq and is marked validated. NCBI's taxonomy places the organism in Eukaryota, Metazoa, Chordata, Mammalia, Rodentia, Muridae. The transcript is spliced from 8 exons.